UAAUAUGAAGGGGGCAAGAGUUACUCGGAAUUUUUGGGGGUAAAGCGUGCGUAGGGGGUGGUUUAAGUCUCAUGUGAAAGCCCCGGGCUCUACCUGGGAAUUGCAGUGGAUAUUGGAUCACUAGAGUGUGGGAGAGGAUAGUGGAAUUUUCGGUGUAGCGGUGAAAUGUUUAGAGAUAUGAAGGAACAUAUGUGGGGAGGGGGAGUAUCUGGGCCAACACUGACACUGAGGCACGAAAGCGUGGGGAGCACACACGAUUAGAUACCCCGGUAGUCCACGCCCUAAAAGAUG
This 291-nucleotide ribosomal RNA is filed under the name uncultured bacterium. Its description in RNAcentral is "partial 16S ribosomal RNA". It matches the Rfam family "Bacterial small subunit ribosomal RNA", at positions 521 to 811 of the family's 1533-position model. The record is from RNAcentral.